This 71-nucleotide transfer RNA is filed under the name Lactobacillus acetotolerans. It matches the Rfam family "tRNA". Rfam says of the family: Transfer RNA (tRNA) molecules are approximately 80 nucleotides in length. Their secondary structure includes four short double-helical elements and three loops (D, anti-codon, and T loops). The record is from Rfam by way of RNAcentral. Lineage: Bacteria; Bacillati; Bacillota; Bacilli; Lactobacillales; Lactobacillaceae. RNAcentral also lists the same sequence under 1 other name.
GCGGGUAUAGUUUAAUGGUAAAACAUUAGCUUCCCAAGCUGAAGAUGCGGGUCCGAUUCACGCUACCCGCU